GGGCGAAAUCAUAAUGGUUUAGUGGUAUAAUACUCGCUUAGCAUGUGAGUGGUCCAGGGUUCGAUUCCCUGUUCGUCCA
RNAcentral lists this transfer RNA (79 nucleotides) under Colletotrichum fructicola Nara gc5. Its description in RNAcentral is "tRNA-Ala for anticodon AGC". The stretch from base 13 to 73 matches the Rfam family "tRNA", at positions 6 to 65 of the family's 71-position model. From Rfam's summary of the family: Transfer RNA (tRNA) molecules are approximately 80 nucleotides in length. Their secondary structure includes four short double-helical elements and three loops (D, anti-codon, and T loops). Further hydrogen bonds mediate the characteristic L-shaped molecular structure. tRNAs have two regions of fundamental functional importance: the anti-codon, which is responsible for specific mRNA codon recognition, and the 3' end, to which the tRNAs corresponding amino acid is attached (by aminoacyl-tRNA synthetases). tRNAs cope with the degeneracy of the genetic code in two manners: having more than one tRNA (with a specific anti-codon) for a particular amino acid; and 'wobble' base-pairing, i.e. permitting non-standard base-pairing at the 3rd anti-codon position. The record is from RNAcentral. Lineage: Eukaryota; Fungi; Ascomycota; Sordariomycetes; Glomerellales; Glomerellaceae.